Long non-coding RNA from Mirounga angustirostris (Northern elephant seal), 6780 nucleotides. RefSeq lists it as uncharacterized. Lineage: Eukaryota; Metazoa; Chordata; Mammalia; Carnivora; Phocidae. The record is from RefSeq and is a predicted model, not a curated record. The transcript is spliced from 2 exons.
UCAGCUGAGUCUGAGGCGCAUCUAGAAGAGGGAGGUCCUCUAGCUGCUCAUUCAUUCACCUGAUAAUUGUCAUGUGCCACAUACAGGACACGCUAUGUUUACGUCUGGGACAGCUCAGUGAGACUAAGAAGAGGGAAAACAUGCGGCUCUUGUGGAGAUUAGUUGUAGUGUAAGGGGCAGCCUGCACUUGACCCUCGGGCAAUGCGGGGAUGGGGGCAGUGACCCCCGCGUGCAGUCAGAAAUCCAAGUACAGCUUUUGACUCCCUCAAAACAUAAGAACUAACAGCCUCCUGGUGACUGGAAGCCUUACUGAUAACAUGAACUGUCGCUUCACACAUUUGCAUGUUACAUGUACUAUAUACUGUGUUCUUACAAUGAAUGAAGGUAGAGAAAAUAGUAGAAAUCAUAAGGAAGAGAAAGUGCGUGGACAGUACUUACUGUAGAAAAGUCCGCAUCCAGGUGCACACGCCCCGUGCAAACCAGUGUCAUGCAGAGGUGAACUGUGUACUGUGUAAGCGCAGUAAUAAGGGAAGUGUUUACAUGGAAGUUGGCAGGAGCUUUGAGGAAGGUGACCCAGAGCACUGUGCUGGGACGGGGACCAUGGCUCCGUUACUCCAGGGAUCAGGGAGCCUCACUGAGAAGGUGACCUCUGAGAGGUUUGAAGGUCAUGAAGGAAUUGUGUCAGAGGAGGUCUGGGCGGGGAGCUCUUUCCAGGCAGGGAACCCCCAGUGCACACGCACUAGGACAGGAGCAUGUCCUGUGUUCACGGAAGGGUGAGGAGGCCACUGGGGCUGGAGCAGAGAGCCGGUGACGUGAGGUCGGAUGUCAGCCUCGUCACGGAGGCCUGAGGAUAUUAGAAGGGUUCUGAGUUUUCUCUGAGGGAGGCGUGGAGUUACAGGAAUGAACAGAUCGAUGCGAUUGACUUUCUUGAGCAGCAUCUGUUCGCCUCUGUGCAGAAUCGGGAGGUGCAGGGAGAGCGACUAGUAAGGAACCUGUAGGAAACCCAUGCCGUGUCCCAGGAGGGGGAUGUGGGAUGUACGUCUGGGAUGUGAGGAGGGAAGCUACUAGGAAGUGAUUGGGAGCUGGAGAUAUUCACAGAUGGACUUUGCAACAUUUCCUAAUGGAUUCAUUCUGUAUGGUGAGAAGGAGGAAUCAAGGAGGGCAUCCGGUGUUUCAGACUGCAAGUAGAAAUGUGGGGUGCUUUCUUGGAAACGGGGAAGACUCUGGAAGUAAGACAUUUGGGGAAGCAGCAUCACAGGCAUCCAGUGUAAGAAUGUGGAAUCUGGGAUGUCUAUUAGAAACCUAAGUGAAGUUGGCAGUUGGAUACAGAGUGCAGGGUAGGAGAAAUAUCUAGGUCGGAGAAAUAGAUUUGCGAAGUGAUGUCAUUAAAUGAUGUUUGAAGCUUCAGCAGAGAUGAGGUCACCAAGGAGGUGAGGGCCAUAGAAGAGAAAGGAACAGGACCAAACCCUGCACUCCUCAGGGCUAAGCAAGCUGGUCAGAGCACACACCCAGAGUGUACUGCACAGUCUGGUUCUGCGUCUAGAAGGCACAUAGACCAGGGAGGCCCACCCUUCAGUGUGCACAGGAAUUGCCUGGACUAUGAAGAUCUAGACAGUCUGGAGUAGAGCAUGAGAUUCUGGGUUGGUAACAAGGUUGGUGCUGAUGCUGCUGGUCUUCAGAUCCCACACUGAGUAGCAAGCACAUGAAGCAGGAUCCCCACAUGGCCAUGCAUCAGCCUCUCCUGUAGGGCUUAUUAGGUAAGUGAUUCCUGGGCCCACGCCCAACAUUCUAAGCUGGUGGGUCUGGGAAGAGGCCUGAGUAUUUGGUAAUGAAUCCACCAGCAAUCCUGGGGCUCCCCCAGAUAUGGAAGCAGUGAAGUCAUUGAUGAGAGUCCUCAUCAUGGGAAAGGGUCUUACAGACACAUUUAAAUGGUUUUGGGGGGGGCACCUGAGUGACAUCUGACACUUGGUUUCGGUUCAGGUCAUGAGAACUAGCCCACGUCAGGCUCUGCACCCAGUGAACAGUCUUCUUGAAAUGUUCUCCCUCUCCCUCUACCCCUCUCCUCUUUGUCAUGCACACACACUCUUUCUCUCUCUCUCAAAUAAAUAAAUAAAUAAAUACAAUCUUUAAAUUUUUUUUUUGUAGGAAGAAAAAUGUAAGACAUGCUGUGAGAAACAUGUUUUCUCUCUUGUGGGGCACAGCCAGGUGGCAGAUUGAAAAGCCACUGAACAGGCUUGAGGCUACACAGCCGGGAGCAGAAUCCACGCUGGACCCUCGAUGGAGGCCCACCUACAGCCAGCACCCUGCUACUGGGUAUCGAUGCCCCUGUCCACACCACUGACUCCCCUGAGGGAGGACACUGGGCCCUGAGGCUGGGACUGCUAUCGCUGCUGCCCUGACCGCUGCAUGACCCCGCUGUGACACUGCUCGGACCCCCUGCGCCCAAUGCAUGGACGCUGUCCCAGUGUGUCUGUCACGUGUCCUGAGUCAGAGUCUGGCAGGGGGUCACGUGACUGUUGACGCUUCAUGUCACAUCCAACUGCAAGACUGGCAAAGUGGGUUCUCCUCUCUAUGGAUGGAGGUGGUCUCUGUCCCCAACAAGAUUCUUUAAGUGUGGAAUUCCUUCAUGUGGGAAGAGAGGUACGAGUUCUGGGAACGGACGUUGGGGACCAGGAAUGGAAAAGAACGACAAAUUUCGCCAUUUGGAGUCGUGAUCUGAGACUAGAACUUGAUCUGGACGCUGUAGGCUCUCAAGUCUGCUUGGAUGGAGUGACUCAUAAAUGGCCUCUUUCAACUUAUUCCCCUGAUGGUUGUUGGGGACCCAGCGUUUAUCUACUCCAGUUCCUACUCACACGUAAGUGGACUAGCAUUGUUGGGUGAUGAAGUGAUUGCUCAACAUGUCUUCUCCCGGCCUUGGUCUCUUCCUGGGAUUAAAAACCCAGAUCUGUAUCACUUCAGAUGAUCUGCACAUAUACACUGACAUUUUAUGUUUCUUCUUACAUGCACAUAUUUCUAGGGAGAGUGUGUGUAAUUUUAUUUGGUUUUAUGUGGCCUCCACAAAAGUAUGAAAACCUGUUCCAGUGUAGACACUAUUCUACUUCAUCUCUGGUCCACAAACAGCUAAUUAUCACAGUGUUUUAGCAGAUCCAAUGACAUGAUAGACAUGCUCAACUUUGUCUGGGCAAUGACCAGUCUCAGACAGAAGGUAGAGCUUUCUUGCUUAUACUCACUUUCAAUUUCUUUAUGUAUCUUUUUAAGGGCUGAUUAACAGUUCACAGACCAGUGCUGGCUCACAGAAGACACAAUCAUCAUUGGUUUAGGUGACUUAUACUCCAGCACCUACUCUGGUGCCUAAUAAAUAGCAGAAAUGAAAAACAGUUAAUGGGGUCUCCAUUUCCAGUAACAUAGUAGACUAGGGUUUAAGGCUGCCUCUUCCCUAAAAACAACUAAAAAUGCUAGAAAAAAACCAUAAAAUCAUCCAAAAGUGCAGUAGAACAAUCAAGAGAGUAAUCAUUUAAGUCAAAAUUUAAAUAUGGGCAGUAAGCCAGAGAGAAUAGUUGUUCUGAUCCUUAGGGCAUUUUUCAAAUCUAGAAAACCUUAGCCUGGCUUCUCAGGCUCAUAAGCUUCAUAGAGAGGAAAUAAUGCCCAGAGCUUCUUCAUGUGAGGAGCAGGAGAAACAUCCCCUCCCUGAAAAUCUGGAACUUAAGACUCAUAUCCUCAGAACAGGGUGACACAAAGCAAAUCUGUUCUAUUUUCAAGUACAAAUUUGUUCUAUUUCAAGUACAAAUUUGCCUUUGAGCCGGGAAAAGUGAGCAAACAACUAUUUCAAAAAAUUUGCAAUCACAGACUAAGCCGUCUGUGAUUUUUUUGUCCAAAUUUGCUUUGUCAUUGUCCAUUGAAUCAAACUAACUUCAUGUCAUUAGUUUAGUUAAUAAUUGUCCUGGAUUGGUGAGGACCCAACAACUGUAAGAAAGAAACAAAUUUCUCAAGGGAAAUCUCUAUUUAACCUACGUGUCAAAAAAUUUACACAAAUAAUUGCACAAAGAAAAAGAGCAACUAGUAGAAAGAAAUGUAAAUUUCAAAUGAAAAAAGACUGAUUGACUAACUUUAGAAAGAAUCAGUAGUAAAAUGCUCAUGAAACUUCAAUAUUGAAAUCGUAAGACAUAAGAUAUAACAUGACUAGGCUAUGAUAUAAAUAUAUAAAUAUAUGUUAUUUGAAUAUAUAUUAUGGAUAUGACAUGAAGAAAAGAAUCACAAUAUUGAAAAUGUAGUAAAAUGGCGAAAAAAGCACCUCUCAAAAAUAACUAUAAAAUAUAGUGAUUAAUAAAUAAUGAAAAUACUAUAUUCUCUGAAUAAGAAGUUAUCAGUAAAGAGGAAUGAGUGGAGGCAUGAAAAACAAAAAGCAGAAAGUAAAAUGGCAUCCUAAAUCCAACAGUGUCAAUAUUAACAUUAAAUGUCAAUGGCUUAAUUAAGUCCAUCCAAGUGCAAAUUGUUAGACUGAACACAAAACAAGAUCCAAUUAUGCUGUCUACAGUAGACUCACUUGAAACUCAAUUACAAAUAGAUUAAAAUCAAAGGGAUGGGAAAAGUCAUCUCAGGGAAACAAUCAUAAGAAAGCUGGAGGGGACGCACUCUUAAGCCAAAACGGACUUUAAAAAUGCUAGUGAAGAUAGACAGGAUCGGGUAGGCAGAGUUAAAAUGGUGGAGUAGUAGAGAGACCCUGAACUUGACUUGUCCUUCGAAUACAGCUAGAUCAACAUUCAACUAUUUUGAACAACGAGGAAGAUGAUCUAGGAUUAAGGAAACAAUCUGCACAGGUGGGGUGAAAGAAUUUGGCAGAUCCGAGGUUCAGAGCUCUGCACUGGGGGAGAGGCAAGUGGUGUGGCCAUGAACGGGAGGGAACCCAGUUUGCAGAGCAAAGUCAGGAAGAGGGAGAAAGUGGCCAGCAGGUAGGGACCUCACAGUAACCAGUGAAGAGAUCCCCUGGGUCACUCAGGGAGACAUUACUCCCCUUCCCAGAGGGCAUUUGCAAGACAGUAUUUAGCCUCUCCAAGGACAAAAGGCCAGCCGGGGCCAUUGUGGGGAUCUCAGCAACAGGGUUAGAGGUGCCCAGGGAGGGCAGAAAACCUCUUCACUUUUCGCUGUGAGCUACAAUGGAUUCAAACCUCUGUGUGGGAGCUGAGGGGCCACUUUUCUGGGGCUGAACUGAGCAGAGCGCAGAGACUGGAGCAGGUCACAGAUAACCUGGCCAACACUUCUCGCUGUCGGCCCCAAUAGAUUCAAGCCUCUGCAACUGCUUUUCUGGGAAAGAAGGGAGUAGGGGACUGCGUCCAUGCCCAGGGCUGAUAACCUGGUCCCAGCUUCUGGCUGAGCGUUACGAUAAGCUCUAGCCUCUGUGUGCGCACCGUGCGAUGGCUUUUCGGGGACAGAACAGUGCUGGGCCUGCCCUGAGCCUCUCUGCAGGCGGAUGGGAGUGGGCCCUUUAAAACAUGGAGUUUUGAGUCCCAGUCACCAACCAGAGAGAAAAUACAAGAGAUCUGUGACUCUGGGCAUGCCCAAGACCCAGGCACAGACAAGUUAGGGCAGGGAACCAACGAGGGCCCAGGACACAGGAGAUUGUUCGCUUUUCUAAGAGGACCUCCUGAACAGCUGUAGCAGAGGGUUCCACUCCCCAGGGACAAGAGGGUGGGAGACGCCACAUUCUAGCCCCUACACCACCCGCACCCCCCAGCACAGUCAGACUCCAGAGUGAAACAGCACCUCUAGUGGAGGCUGGAGUCCCCCACACUAAACCCCGCCCUCCUGUACCUGGCAGGGGCAUUAUUGCAUGGGCAAGAGAGCCUGUGAGCCCGCACAGCAGGUCUCUCCCUCAGAAAAGCAACACAAGUGCCCCGCACCUACUAAGUCUACUGAUUAAAGAAAGCUGCAAAACAUCAGUUUCUGAUGGAAAUGCGACCAGGCUUGUUGUUGUUGUUGUUGUUUCUUUCCUCCCCUCUUCUUAAUUUUUAAAAUGUUUUGAAAUUUCUUAUUUUUUUAUUCUUUAUCCUUUAUUUUAUAUAUUUUUUUCUUUUUUUAAUUUUCCCCUUAUCUUAUUUUUUGUAUCAGGCUUAUCAUUUUUUAUUCAUUUGUUGGUUUGUUUGUUUCCUUCUCAUAUUUUUCAGAUCAGGCUUAUUAUUUUAUUUCCUCUUUUCUUCUUUCCCUACUCUGUUUUUCCUUCUUUCUUUAUUUUUUAGAAUCAGACUUACAGCUUAUUGUUUGUCUGUUCAUUUGCAUUUUAAUUCCUUUUCCUGUUGUCUUGGAUCAGGCUUUUGUUGUUGUUGUUUUUUCUUUUUUCUUUUCUUUUUCUUUUUCUUUUUCCUUUUUCUUCUUUUCUUUUACGGGUUUAUUUUGACAAACAAAUCAAAGCAACCAACUUAAUGGUGCAAACACUCCCCACUACAAGCACAGAGGAACUCUGUAGAGGGAGGACCAAUGGAAAAGAGCAGCCAAAACACAACAGUAGAGUCUACACAGCAUAUACCAGAAUUACUUCCCGAGUUGUUGUUGCUGUUAUUGCUGAUUUUUGCUGGGUUUUGUUUUUUCACCCUUUCUUUCCUCCUUUAUUUUUAUGGACAAAAUGACUAGACGGAGAAACUCACUUCAAAAGACAGAAGAGGAGGUAAUAUCACUGUCAGGGAUUUGAUCAAUAUGGAUAUAAGUAAGACGUCUGAACUAGAAUUUAAAACAGUGAUUAUAAAGAUACUAGCUGGGCUUGAAAAAAGCAUAGGAGGCACUAGACAA